UACGUAGGGGGCAAGCGUUGUCCGGAUUUAUUGGGCGUAAAGCGCGUGUAGGCGGCCAUACAGGUCCGUUGUGAAAACUCGAGGCUUAACCUCGAGACGUCGAUGGAAACCGUAUGGCUAGAGUCCGGAAGAGGAGAGUGGAAUUCCUGGUGUAGCGGUGAAAUGCGCAGAUAUCAGGAAGAACAUCCGUGGCGAAGGCGGCUCUCUGGGACGGUACUGACGCUGAGACGCGAAAGCGUGGGGAGCGAACAGG
This 253-nucleotide ribosomal RNA is filed under the name uncultured bacterium. RNAcentral describes it as "partial 16S ribosomal RNA". It matches the Rfam family "Bacterial small subunit ribosomal RNA", at positions 524 to 776 of the family's 1533-position model. The record is from RNAcentral.